UGUUUGAUGUUCUAACGUGGACCCGUGAUCCGGGUUGCGGACAGUGUCUGGUGGGUAGUUUGACUGGGGCGGUCUCCUCCUAAAGAGUAACGGAGGAGCACGAAGGUUGGCUAAUCCUGGUCGGACAUCAGGAGGUUAGUGCAAUGGCAUAAGCCAGCUUGACUGCGAGCGUGACGGCGCGAGCAGGUGCGAAAGCAGGUCAUAGUGAUCCGGUGGUUCUGAAUGGAAGGGCCAUCGCUCAACGGAUAAAAGGUACUCCGGGGAUAACAGGCUGAUACCGCCCAAGAGUUCAUAUCGACGGCGGUGUUUGGCACCUCGAUGUCGGCUCAUCACAUCCUGGGGCUGAAGUAGGUCCCAAGGGUAUGGCUGUUCGCCAUUUAAAGUGGUACGCGAGCUGGGUUUAGAACGUCGUGAGACAGUUCG
Molecule: ribosomal RNA, 423 nt
Filed under: Shigella sonnei
Lineage: Bacteria; Pseudomonadati; Pseudomonadota; Gammaproteobacteria; Enterobacterales; Enterobacteriaceae
Also listed under: 1 other name
Description: partial 23S ribosomal RNA
Rfam family: Bacterial large subunit ribosomal RNA
Source: RNAcentral